This 81-nucleotide non-coding RNA is filed under the name Pseudobacteroides cellulosolvens. Its description in RNAcentral is "ZTP sequence". It matches the Rfam family "ZMP/ZTP riboswitch aptamer (pfl RNA motif)". Rfam says of the family: Previously known as pfl RNA. Lineage: Bacteria; Bacillati; Bacillota; Clostridia; Eubacteriales; Oscillospiraceae. The record is from RNAcentral. RNAcentral also lists the same sequence under 1 other name.
UACAUAUCGUAUGACUGGCGGAAGUGGAGUUUACCACAUGGAAGUACGAUUAUUAAAAAGCCGACCGCCUGGGUGACUGAU